GAUGAACGCUGGCGGCGUGCCUAAUACAUGCAAGUCGAGCGAACAGAUAAGGAGCUUGCUCCUUUGACGUUAGCGGCGGACGGGUGAGUAACACGUGGGUAACCUACCUAUAAGACUGGGAUAACUUCGGGAAACCGGAGCUAAUACCGGAUAACAUUUGGAACCGCAUGGUUCUAAAGUGAAAGAUGGUUUUGCUAUCACUUAUAGAUGGACCCGCGCCGUAUUAGCUAGUUGGUAAGGUAACGGCUUACCAAGGCGACGAUACGUAGCCGACCUGAGAGGGUGGUCGGCCACACUGGAACUGAGACACGGUCCAGACUCCUACGGGAGGCAGCAGUAGGGAAUCUUCCGCAAUGGGCGAAAGCCUGACGGAGCAACGCCGCGUGAGUGAUGAAGGGGUUCGGCUCGUAAAACUCUGUUAUUAGGGAAGAACAAACGUGUAAGUAACUGUGCACGUCUUGACGGUACCUAAUCAGAAAGCCACGGCUAACUACGUG
RNAcentral lists this ribosomal RNA (497 nucleotides) under uncultured bacterium. Its description in RNAcentral is "partial 16S ribosomal RNA". It matches the Rfam family "Bacterial small subunit ribosomal RNA", at positions 28 to 507 of the family's 1533-position model. The record is from RNAcentral.